CCUACGGGCGGCAGCAGUGGGGAAUAUUGGACAAUGGGGGCAACCCUGAUCCAGCCAUGCCGCGUGUGUGAAGAAGGCCCUCGGGUUGUAAAGCACUUUCAGUGAGGAAGAACGCCUGGUGGUUAAUACCCAUCAGGAAAGACAUCACUCACAGAAGAAGCACCGGCUAACUCCGUGCCAGCAGCCGCGGUAAUACGGAGGGUGCGAGCGUUAAUCGGAAUUACUGGGCGUAAAGCGCGCGUAGGUGGCUUGAUAAGCCGGUUGUGAAAGCCCCGGGCUCAACCUGGGAACGGCAUCCGGAACUGUCAAGCUAGAGUGCAGGAGAGGAAGGUAGAAUUCCCGGUGUAGCGGUGAAAUGCGUAGAGAUCGGGAGGAAUACCAGUGGCGAAGGCGGCCUUCUGGACUGACACUGACACUGAGGUGCGAAAGCGUGGGUAGCACACCGGAUUAGAUACACGAGUAGUC
This 465-nucleotide ribosomal RNA is filed under the name Vreelandella stevensii. RNAcentral describes it as "partial 16S ribosomal RNA". It matches the Rfam family "Bacterial small subunit ribosomal RNA", at positions 338 to 795 of the family's 1533-position model. Lineage: Bacteria; Pseudomonadati; Pseudomonadota; Gammaproteobacteria; Oceanospirillales; Halomonadaceae. The record is from RNAcentral.